RNAcentral lists this long non-coding RNA (539 nucleotides) under Chinchilla lanigera (long-tailed chinchilla). RNAcentral describes it as "lncRNA (ENSCLAG00000027833.1)". The record is from RNAcentral. Lineage: Eukaryota; Metazoa; Chordata; Mammalia; Rodentia; Chinchillidae.
CUUAAUUCUACCCAUUUAAAAGAGCUGCUCACAAGUUCGUGUUCCACAGCAGGUUCAAAUGGAUAGAAUCAGACCUACCAACAAGCUUUCAUCUUCGGAGAUGUAAACACAGGCCUGGCCCUCUCUUCUGUCAUGAUAUCUUCUGUGAAUAUUCUUGGUCAGGAGUGCAAAGCGCGAGAGGGCUGAUUGCUGCUGAGCUGAGCCCUCAAAAACACUGCGGACUUUUCACAUGCACCAACCCGAGGCUCCACUCACCACUCUUGCUGGAAAGGCAACUCUUACAACAUCCUUCUUUCUACUAUUCAAUUUCAAGAUGUGUUGUAGAUCUGCAGAUAAAUUCCAGCAGGGGUCAAGACUCAAGAGCCUUGUAAUCUGGAUGGGAUGGAGGGGAAAGAGUGACUUCCUCUUGCUGCCUUCUGUCUGCCUCCCCAUGGACGGUUUCUUCUCUGUGAUGCCUCUCUACCAUGCAAUCCUUCCUUGGAGCCAGCCAACCUUAGACUAAAGCCUCAGUAAAUUGACCUAAAUAAACAUUUCCUCCU